Vicia faba (fava bean) is the source of this 228-nucleotide non-coding RNA. Lineage: Eukaryota; Viridiplantae; Streptophyta; Magnoliopsida; Fabales; Fabaceae. The record is from the annotation of a GenBank genome assembly.
AUGAAUGGGGGGAAAAGCCACAACUGGAUGAUAGCAAGCCUGGGCUUACGUUGGGAAAAAGAGCGAUGCCUAUUCAUGUUCAUGUACGAAGUGAGCCUGGAGAAAGGAAAGAAUAGUUACUUCCUGGGAGGAGGCGUAGGUGAUAGGAAGCUAAUCAAGGACAGGCUGAGGAUUCGAACAGCUUUAAGAGAGAAGAGUAAGGGGACCUUCAAGGAAGAAGUGAGAUAA